CCUACGGGCGGCAGCAGUGAGGAAUAUUGGUCAAUGGACGAGAGUCUGAACCAGCCAAGUAGCGUGAAGGAUGACUGCCCUAUGGGUUGUAAACUUCUUUUAUAUGGGAAUAAAAUGUUCCACGUGUGGGAUUUUGUAUGUACCAUAUGAAUAAGGCUCGGCUAACUCCGUGCCAGCAGCCGCGGUAAUACGGAGGGUCCGAGCGUUAUCCGGAAUUAUUGGGUUUAAAGGGUGCGUAGGUGGAUUGUUAAGUCAGUUGUGAAAGCUUGCGGCUCAACCGUAGAAGUGCAGUUGAAACUGGUAGUCUUGAGUAUAGGAGAGGUAGGUGGAAUUCGUGGUGUAGCGGUGAAAUGCGUAGAUAUCACGAAGAACUCUGAUUGCGAAGGCAACUCACUGGACUGCAACUGACGCUGAGGCUCGAAAGUGUGGGUAUCAAACAGGAUUAGAUACCCUAGUAGUC
Molecule: ribosomal RNA, 460 nt
Filed under: uncultured bacterium
Lineage: Bacteria
Description: partial 16S ribosomal RNA
Rfam family: Bacterial small subunit ribosomal RNA
Source: RNAcentral